RNAcentral lists this ribosomal RNA (253 nucleotides) under uncultured bacterium. RNAcentral's name for it is "partial 16S ribosomal RNA". It matches the Rfam family "Bacterial small subunit ribosomal RNA", at positions 524 to 776 of the family's 1533-position model. The record is from RNAcentral.
UACGAAGGGGGCUAGCGUUGCUCGGAAUCACUGGGCGUAAAGCGCACGUAGGCGGCUUUUUAAGUCAGGGGUGAAAUCCUGGAGCUCAACUCCAGAACUGCCUUUGAUACUGGGAAGCUCGAGUCCGGAAGAGGUGAGUGGAACUCCGAGUGUAGAGGUGAAAUUCGUAGAUAUUCGGAAGAACACCAGUGGCGAAGGCGGCUCACUGGUCCGGUACUGACGCUGAGGUGCGAAAGCGUGGGGAGCAAACAGG